AUGAACGCUGGCGGCGUGCUAAACACAUGCAAGUCGAACGAAGCAUUUAGGACAGAUUACUUCGGUUUGAAGUUCUUUAUGGCUGAGUGGCGGACGGGUGAGUAACGCGUGGGUAACCUGCCUUGUACUGGGGGAUAGCAGCUGGAAACGGCUGGUAAUACCGCAUAAGCGCACAAUGUUGCAUGACAUGGUGUGAAAAACUCCGGUGGUAUAAGAUGGACCCGCGUCUGAUUAGCUAGUCGGUGAGAUAACAGCCCACCAAGGCGACGAUCAGUAGCCGACCUGAGAGGGUGACCGGCCACAUUGGGACUGAGACACGGCCCAGACUCCUACGGGAGGCAGCAGUGGGGAAUAUUGCACAAUGGAGGAAACUCUGAUGCAGCGACGCCGCGUGAGUGAAGAAGUAAUUCGUUAUGUAAAGCUCUAUCAGCAGGGAAGAUAGUGACGGUACCUGACUAAGAAGCUCCGGCUAAAUACGUG
RNAcentral lists this ribosomal RNA (480 nucleotides) under uncultured bacterium. RNAcentral's name for it is "partial 16S ribosomal RNA". It matches the Rfam family "Bacterial small subunit ribosomal RNA", at positions 29 to 507 of the family's 1533-position model. The record is from RNAcentral.